This 1137-nucleotide long non-coding RNA is filed under the name Salmo salar (Atlantic salmon). RNAcentral's name for it is "lncRNA (ENSSSAG00000116415.1, ENSSSAG00075020900.1)". Lineage: Eukaryota; Metazoa; Chordata; Actinopteri; Salmoniformes; Salmonidae. The record is from RNAcentral.
GCGAGUUAGUUAGUAAUGUAUGGCAUCACGGUCUUCACCUCUACACCAGGGUUAAACUCCAUGAGACCUGAUGGGGGCUGUUGGCUAGGGUGAGUGGCAGGGCGUCUAAUUGAAACUGUCCAUAUCUUUUCCUCAUUCCCUCUGAAUACCCAGGGAAACAUCCCGAAUGGCUUUCCCUUCAAUUAGUCUCCAUUUCCAUCAGUCACUUACGACCUCUAAAAUAUAUAUAAGAUGAGUAGAGGAGAAGAUGAGUGGAGGAGAAGAUGACUGGAGGAGAAGAUGAGUGGAGGUGAAGAUGAGUGGAGGAGAAGAUGACUGGAGGUGAAGAUGAGUGGAGGAGAAGAUGAGUGGAGGAGAAGAUGACUGGAGGUGAAGAUGAGUGGAGGAGAAGGUGAGUGGAGGGGAAGAUGAGUGGAGGAGAAGAUGACUGGAGGUGAAGAUGAGUGGAGGAGAAGAUGAGUGGAGGUGAAGAUAGGUGGAGGAGAAGAUGAGUGGAGGUGAAGGUGAGUGGAGGUGAAGAUGAGUGGAGGAGAAGAUGAGUGGAGAAGAUGAGUAGAGAAGAUGAGUGGAGGUGAAGAUGAGUGGAGGAGAAGAUGAGUGGAGGAGAAGAUGAGUGGAGGAGAAGAUGAGUAGAGGAGAAGAUGAGUAGAGGUGAAGAUGAGUGGAGGAGAAGAUGAGUGGAGGAGAAGAUGAGUGGAGGAGAAGAUGAGUGGAGAAGAUGAGUGGAGGAGAAGAUGAGUGGAGGAGGAGAUGAGUGGAGGAGAAGAUGAGUAGAGGAGGAGAUGAGUGGAGGAGAUGAGUGGAGGAGAAGAUGAGUGGAGGAGAAGAUGAGUGGAGGAGAAGAUGAGUGGAGGAGGAGGAGGGAAAAAGGAGUAAUGAUUAGGGACCAGUAGUAAUGCGUGGUGGGAGGGGCGCUGGAUGAGCGGAUGAAGGGUGAUGAUAAAACAUUCAUUAACGGGACGUAAAACCACACGUUAAAGACGAGGGCCAUCCAUUAUUAUUUCAGAUCUACCAGAGUGAGUGUAGGCAGCUUGGGUAAAAAGCAGAGAUUGUCACACAUGAAUGGCACCUCCUCUCUCUCAGACAAAGAUAAUGCUAUUAGCUGAUUAAUUAGACUCCUGUGGAUCAUGUUUAUGA